GAAAAAUUGAGGUAGCAUUCAUAUGGCAACUUCAUAUGACUUGAUGUGCUGCACAGUAGUCGUGUUUGCAAUGCUACCACUCAUGGAAAACAGCAGAGUACCUCUCGAAGCACACCCAAGAAAUCGACAGCAGAGGUUGCCUCUGAGGAGGGAAAUGGGGCACAGGAGCUGAGAAGAGGAGGAGAGUUCCUCUGAAUGUAUAAUGUUUGGUGCUCUUUGAAUUUUACACUAUGUGCAUGUAACCACUAUUCAAAAAUAACAUUAAACCCUUUACAUAUUUUAGUUACUAGGAGAUACUUGGCUGCUGUUCAUAGUGAGGAGGUCAUUAAUGGUAAUGGGGUCAGAAGAAACGACGGUCUAAGGGGAAAAUGCUGCAUUAUCUAUUUUCAGAAAUGAUCAUUUUGAUCUAUUAUUCAGAAUAAUAUUGAUUUGAACAGCAAUACCCUAUAACCAAGGGACCUGAAGGGAACAGUAUGCAGAGCCUAAGAUAAAGAAACCUGUAUAUUUUGUUGUGGUGAGAGUGCUGAAAGUGGAGAGUGGAAAGUCUGAGCCUUUACGUUUUUGAUGCCAGAGUAAUCAUUCAGAAGGCUUUUGAAGAGUAACGUAUUGACUACACUCUGUUACAUUUCAGUCAUUUUGCUAUCAUCCUUUUUUCCAGUACAUGCCAUAGAAUGUAGCAAUUCAAGAGCAAACUGUUGGAAAACAUGCUCAACUCAUCUUCCUCAGCUUGUUAUUUCUUCAAAUUAUCUAAUUC
This 754-nucleotide long non-coding RNA is filed under the name Homo sapiens (human). RNAcentral's name for it is "HSALNT0209764". Lineage: Eukaryota; Metazoa; Chordata; Mammalia; Primates; Hominidae. The record is from RNAcentral.